This 275-nucleotide ribosomal RNA is filed under the name uncultured bacterium. Its description in RNAcentral is "partial 16S ribosomal RNA". It matches the Rfam family "Bacterial small subunit ribosomal RNA", at positions 338 to 608 of the family's 1533-position model. The record is from RNAcentral.
CCUACGGGUGGCUGCAGUCGAGAAUCUUCGGCAAUGGGCGCAAGCCUGACCGAGCGAUGCCGCGUGCGGGAUGAAGGCCUUCGGGUUGUAAACCGCUGUCGAGGGGGAGCAACUUCCAUAGAGUUAUCUUUAUGGAUUGAGUGAUCCCUGGAGGAAGGACGGGCUAAGUUCGUGCCAGCAGCCGCGGUAAGACGAACCGUCCAAACGUUAUUCGGUAUCACUGGGCUUAAAGAGUUCGUAGGCGGCUAAACAGGUGAGGUGUGAAAGCCCUCGGC